CAAAGAAAGUCUGAGACUGAGCCUUAUGAUAACCAGGCAUUUCCAAGUCACUUGCCACAGUAGUCAAGGAGCUCUCAGUGGUCUCCAACUCCAGUCCCUCCACAUGCAGCACCUCCAAGUUUUGUGCUUUAUAUGGGGGUCAAUAGAAUAUGGUUAUUCAAGGAAUUGUGGACACCAUGUGACAAAAGAGUCCAGGUUCAAACAGGAAUGGGACCAGGGCCAUACCCAGCCUCUUGAUUACUAUGUGCAGUCCAGUCCAAGUACCCACAUUUUGAACUCCAGACCCCCAUAAGGGGGUCUAAUAGUCUUAAGUAGCCAGGCACAGUGGCACAUGUCUAUAAUCCCAGCUACUCAGGAGGCUGAGGCAGGAGGAUUCCAAGUUUGAGGCCAGCUUGAGCAACUUAGAACCCCCAUCUCAAAAAAAAAAGAUGGGGAAACUGAGGAUGUGAUGAGUGAUAGAGUGAGCCUGGGUUCAUUCCCUAAUACUAGAAAAAGAAUUAAUUCUUUAAAUUAAUUCCUGAGAGAAACUCAGUGGGUAAACAGUUUGCUACUGGGAGAAAAAUGGACCUGGUAUUGCAGUUCUUCCUAGCUUGGAUGGGCAUAGAUCUACCAGCAUUCUGAGAGCUUCGCUUUUCUUGAGGGAAGGGUUCUUCUACAGCCACCUCCUCCAGGAAGCCUUUCCUGAUUCUCUUAAACAAGGUCUCUUCCUCAUGGCACCUUGCUCCUUCAGUAAUCUUAGCAGCACCCAUAUUGUUUUACUUAAUGCUGUUUCAACAACCAUAUCACAUAGGUAUUAUAAUUAUGUUUGUUGAACAUGUCAGGAAAUCAAGACCUAGAGACAUGAAGUAACUUAUCCAAGUCACCAGGAAGAAGCAAUGCCAGGCCUGAUGCUCAUCCUGCUGACUACACUGUUAACCCCAUCAUCCUGUUUAGCACAACAGACUAAAACCCAGGAAAGAUAAGAUUCCCUUUACCUCAUAUCUCCCACUUCUCAAUUUAGCUCCCUUUGGGCCCUACUACUGUGUCUUACUACAUGAGCACUCAUUUUCCGCUAGGACCUGUAGAUUGAAGCUUUUUCCAUAAGUGUUUUUCAUUCUUUUUUUUUCCCCCUUUGGUCCAUCUGUAUAAAGUCUAUGUUAAGAAUCAUCUUCUAGUAUUGGUUUAAUUUUAUAAAUUAUCUGGACUGGAUGAGUCAUGGCUGACAAUUUCAGUGAUGAGUCUGGGGCCCAGAGUGGGCGGAAGGACAAAGCCACCCAGUUGCUAAUUGUGGCUCUGUGGUUCAGCUUGUUUNGUUAUGUUUUGGGUUUCACUUU
RNAcentral lists this long non-coding RNA (1313 nucleotides) under Marmota monax (woodchuck). Lineage: Eukaryota; Metazoa; Chordata; Mammalia; Rodentia; Sciuridae. The record is from RNAcentral.